GAUGAACGCUGGCGGCGUGCCUAAUACAUGCAAGUCGAGCGAACGGACGAUAAUCUUGCUUCUCUGAUGUUAGCGGCGGACGGGUGAGUAACACGUGGAUAACCUACCUAUAAGACUUGGAUAACUUCGAGAAACCGUAACUAAUACCGGAUAAUAUUUUUAGCCUCAUGGUUGAAAAGUUAAAGACGUGCUUGCUGUCACUUAUAGAUGUAUCCGCGCUGCAUUAGCUAUUUGGUAAGGUAACGGCUUACCAAGGCAACGAUGCAUAGCCGACCUGAGAGGGUGAUCGGCCACACUGGAACUGAGACACGGUACAGACUCCUACGGGAGGCAGAAGUAGGGAAUCUUCCGAAAAGGGCGAAAGACUGCAGGAGCAACGCAGCGUGAGUGAUGAAGGUCUUCGGAUCGUAAAACUCUGUUAUUAGGGAAGAACAUAUGUGUAAGUAACUGUGCACAUCUUGACGGUACCUAAUCAGAAAGCCACGGCUAACUACGUG
Molecule: ribosomal RNA, 497 nt
Filed under: uncultured bacterium
Lineage: Bacteria
Description: partial 16S ribosomal RNA
Rfam family: Bacterial small subunit ribosomal RNA
Source: RNAcentral